GCAACCACCAACGGCUAAGUAAUCAACAAGAGCAACAAGAACUCAUGAUUUCCUGACAGCAGGGAAGCUUGGAGAAUUGACUCUAGAGAUGAAGAUGAAUGUUCUUUAGCUUUACCUAAACCUAGGUGUGGCAUGGGGAUUGGGAGAUCUGGAAUGAUGUCAUUGCUUAGAAGAAUAUUAGAGGGACAAAAGCUGUGACAAUGGUGGCCUGCCUGAGAACUGGUCUUGUCAGGCUGGCAGAGAUGAAGGCAAAGCUCUGAGUAAUAGUUGAUGACUGAAUUGAGAAGUUGGUCCUUCCAUCAGGAAUCCCACCCACUGUGGAGGAACUGCAAACUGUUGUGAAUGAGACCUUUUGGAAUUUCUGAUGAGUUGAGUCUUGAGUAUUUGGACUUGGAAUUUGAAGAUUACUUUACUCUUCAUAAAAGUGACCAAAUUAAACACAAAGACACCAUAAAGGUUGUUCACGCUGCCCCAAUUGUUCUUAACUUGCUUCCUCUUGAUGAAAGUUUGGACAGUUCCUCUGGUCGAAAGUCAACUGACUGUGAGGCUGCAUCUUAUGCAGCAUCAACUGCAUCAAAUGCAGAGUCAUCUGCUGGAACAUCAUCAUCACAGGAUACCAUUAUCCUGCCUAGGCGGAGUACCACAGAACAAUGCCAGCCAUGGCCAAAGUGGUUCCCUAUUCCACAGUUUGCAUAUGAAACCGAGAUUUACCUUGAAAGAGCCAUUGAAGACAACCAAAUAAUGGAACACUUCUGACUACCUCAAAGGUCAAGGCUGACAUACUUGAGAAGCUGUCUGAAACUAUAUACACAUUUACAGCUUAUCCAUCAAGUGCACAGAUAAGUAAUACUUGUCCAGAAAUAUCCUUUUCUCAAGGAACCAGACUCCUUCUAGGGUUGCUAUGGCUUCAACAAAGCAUAAAAUGCAAGACGGCCAAUUAUCGCACCAAACUCAGAGGCUACAGUGUUCCUGAGGUGAUAUGCAAUGCACUUAAAUGCAAGAGACCUGCGGACCAGAAAUCUGCAAAGAGUCUAAAAAAAAAAACCUAGAAAAGCAGAGGUAAAUUACCUCCCCCUUACCCAUCAGGAGAGGAUGAACAAAGUCAAGAACAAGAGAGGAUUCUGCUGCUUAUUGAAGUAAGGAAGAGGUACAACAACAAAUUGAUAAAAUAAAAAAUAGACAAAAUAUUUGCACACAGAAGAAACAAAAUUGCCAACCUAUCACCCAGCAUAUGGAACAUCAAAGCCAGAUGGCCUGCUCUAUUUGAGGCAUCUCCUGUGAGUUACUAAUGCUAAAUUAGACAUAUUCCUAGUCCAUUGUGAAGGGACUGCACUAAAAGAUAGCAAAAUUUGUCUGGCCCACUUGUGGGCCACAUACUUGCUUUAGUUCUGGCCCAGUAUAUGCCUGGGUCCCUGGCCAAAACUGGCCCACACACUGAAAACCGACACAUACAAUUUCUUCUGGCCCAGAUCUGGCUCAGACACUGUAAAAUGAAUUAUAUUGUUUUAUGUGGCCCGGGUCUGGGAAAGACACUGUAGGACAGAUCUGGCUGAGAGUCGGCUUGGUCCCCGAGCCAGAUGUGGCCCAGAAACUGCACAAUAUACUUCAUUUUAGCAGAGAAACACAAAUUCAACCAUUUAAUAAGAUUAAGGGCUUUUAUUAAACAUUAACGAAUACAUUACAAUACGAACAUUUAUUAACACACUUUUAAAAACAAGAAAAUAACAAUUAAAUAUAUUUACAGUAUAUUUAAAGACAAAAAAAAAAUGUUCUCACACACACACACCCCGACCCAGCUACCAACACACACACACACACACACACACACACACACACACACACACACACACACACACACACACACUAAUAAUUUCAACUACUUAAAAACAUAUAGAGAACAUACAGUUGCAGUCAGAAGUUUGCAUACCCCUUGCAGAAUCUGCAAAAUCUUAAUACUUUUAACAAAAUAAUAAAAAUCAUAAAAAAUCCCAUAUUUUUUAUUUAGUACUGUCCUGAAUAAGCUAUUUCACAUAACAGAUGUUAACAUAUAGGUCACAAGACAAUUUCUGAAUUUAUAAAAAUUAUCCCAUUCAUGAGUUUACAUACGCUUGAUUCUUAAUACUGUAUGUCAUUACUUGGAUGAUCCACGACUGUGUUUGUUUUGUGAGAGUUGUUCAGGAGUCUCUUGUUUCUCCUGAGCAGUUAAACUGCCCACUGUUCUUCAGAAAAAUCCGACAGGUCCUGCACAUUCUUUGCUUUUCAAAUAUGAAAAACAUCAUCUGCAUAUUUGACUCCUUUCCAACAGUAACUAUAUGAUGCUGAGAUCCAUCUUUUCACACUGAGGACAACUGAGGAACUCGUACAUGACUAUUACAUAAGGUGCAAACAUUCAUUGAUGCUCAAGUAGGUAACAAUACAUUAAGAGCCAGGGGGGUGUAAAUAUUUUAAUAGGAUGACCAGUGUAAAUUAUUAUUAGUUUGUUUAAAGAUGAUUUUUUUUUUCCGUUUAUUACUGCCCUUCAGAAGCUAAAUGAUCAUCAUGUUUAAAAAAUGUACAGCCAGGCACAUAAUAAACUUUAUGCAUUAUUCUUAAUGCAUUGUGUUGCCAUCUUGAGCAUCAGUGAAUGUUUGCACCUUUUUUGGAAUAGUCGUGUAUGAGUCCCUCGGUUGUCUUCAGUGUGAAAAGAUGGAUCAGAACAUCAUAUAACUGCUACUGGAAACUGCUUAAAUAUGCAGGAAAAGCACCUGGAGGAUUUUUCUGAAGAACAGUGGGCAGAUUAACUACUCUGGACAAACAAGGGACUCAUGAACAACUAUCACAAAACAUAAAAACAAUUGUGGACCCUUACAUAUCAUCUCAGAGAGACUGCUAAUUCUGUAUGUAAACAGAUAUACUUACCAAUCACAACCUCUCCGAGUUGGAGAGUGGCCAGUGAAAUCUUUCCAUUGACUCGCCUCCAAUUGAGGUUCUUUGCCAGGAUGUUGGCAAUUACCCUCUUCAAUAUGCGCCAGGUGCACUCGUACACAUCCGCCCCAUCAAUCCGCUCCCUACCAUAGUAUAUAAGUGGUCGUUAAGGCUUCUCAGAAUGCGUCAUGGUCGAAAACCUGCCUCUUCCUUUCGUUGCUAUUGUUGGCUCGAAUUUAGCCUAUUACCCAAAAACAUUUAAAAUUCAACUUAGAAGCCAAUACUCACAUCUACCUCUGAGACCAGUUGGAGAUAGAAAAAAUACACCAGCCGUGAGUGAGAAGAAGCAAGGGUCCAGCUUUAUUGUUUCAUUCCACCACACGAGAUCCACACCGAUGAGAAUUCUCAGAAGUGAUCCCAAUACCCUGAGCUUAAGCUCCAGUAUUUAUACUGUAUUUACACACUAGAUAACCCAUAGGUUUCCAGAAAAGGCCUAUUUCACUUACCCAUAGAAUUGAAACCAGGGGUUUUACUUUACACAUAAAAUCAGAACCCAGGCAUUUCCAACAACCCAGGAAACAAAAACCCAGGGUUUCUAGUUACCUAGGUUGUCAAAAACCAAGAUUCCCAUUUACCUAGGUUUUCAAAAACCAGGAUUCUCUUUUACCUAGGUUUUCAAAAACCAGGAUUCUCUUUUACCUAGGUUUUCAAAAACCAGGAUUCCUAUUUCCCUAGGUUAAAAAAAUGACGUAAGCAAGACGACUAAACAACCGGGAGGGACCUUGGUCUUAUCGUUAUCUCGGGG
Molecule: long non-coding RNA, 3709 nt
Organism: Ictalurus punctatus (channel catfish)
Lineage: Eukaryota; Metazoa; Chordata; Actinopteri; Siluriformes; Ictaluridae
Exons: 3
Source: RefSeq, a predicted model, not a curated record